GAUGAACGCUGGCGGCGUGCUUAACACAUGCAAGUCGAACGAAAAGGCCCAAGCUUUCUUGGUUUCUCGAUUGGCGCACAGGGGAGUAACACGUGGGUAAAAUGCCCUUCACUUCGGGAUAUAACUGCGGAACUGCGGCUCAUACACCGUAUGAUCACUUCUUCCAUAUUGUGGAGUAAAGAUAUACGGUUGUGCGGUCAGCUCGCGGUCGAUCCGCGUCGCGUUAGCGAGUUGGCAAGGUAACGGCUUACCAAGGCGACGAUGCGUAGCCGGCCUGAGAGGGUGAUCGGCCACACUGGAACUGAGACACGGUCUAGACUCCUACGGGAGGCAGCAGUAGGGAAUCUUCCGCAAUGGGCGAAAGCCUGACGGAGCAACGCCGCGUGAGUGAGGAAGGUCUUCUGAUCGUAAAACUCUGUUAUGAGGGAAGAACAAAUGUGUAAGGAACUAUGCACGUCUUGACGGUACCUAAUGAGAAAGCCACGGCUAACUACGUG
Molecule: ribosomal RNA, 497 nt
Filed under: uncultured bacterium
Lineage: Bacteria
Description: partial 16S ribosomal RNA
Rfam family: Bacterial small subunit ribosomal RNA
Source: RNAcentral